RNAcentral lists this long non-coding RNA (662 nucleotides) under Ficedula albicollis (Collared flycatcher). RNAcentral describes it as "lncRNA (ENSFALG00000028844.1)". Lineage: Eukaryota; Metazoa; Chordata; Aves; Passeriformes; Muscicapidae. The record is from RNAcentral.
UGUCCUCAGAAUACAAAGAACCACAGUCUGAACUGUGCCAGCUCUGCCUUGAGGGUAGUCCAAGGAGAUGGGUUAGAAAUGGAUUUGCAGAGUUUUUCAGCUCCAGGUUUCUGGAGAUCAGCCAGGCCUUGGCAUACUUGAAAGCAAUUAGGGAAAACAAAACAAAGCAAAGAGCAGGUCAAUGUAAUAUUGCUGAGAGCUUGGCGCAGGCCAUUUAUUGUCUGAAUUAACCUUUCACACCAUUUUUUGAUAAAGUUGAUGCUGUGCUGCUGAGAAAACAACAUUUUUUCUCUUGUUUGUGAGGAGAAUCUGAGACUGAAUGUUUCCUGAGGGCACGCCAAAAACAAAGGGAAAGGAAAACAAGAGGCCAAGGACAGAGCAAGAUCUCCCUUUUAAAUUUCUGUAGAGGACCUACUACCAUGGAGCUGACAUUAGAGCUCUUCUGUUAAGCUUUUAGUGACACAAUAUUACCUGUAGAAAAUGAAGAAGCGCAAGAUAACACCUGAGAGGCUGUCCUGUCCAACUCAAGAGCUUUGCCAGAACCAAGGCUUAAAAAAAUUCAGAGCAGGUGAAUGUAUUUCAGACCUCUGUCAUUUGUCAUACUGUUCAUAUUCUGUGCCUUUUUUGGUUUUAAAGACCUGCAAUCUCACUGCGUUUGUUUU